RNAcentral lists this ribosomal RNA (256 nucleotides) under uncultured microorganism. Its description in RNAcentral is "partial 16S ribosomal RNA". It matches the Rfam family "Bacterial small subunit ribosomal RNA", at positions 9 to 258 of the family's 1533-position model. The record is from RNAcentral.
GAGUUUGAUCGUGGCUCAGAUUGAACGCUGGCGGCAUGCCUUACACAUGCAAGUCGAACGGCAGCAUGAUCUAGCUUGCUAGAUUGAUGGCGAGUGGCGAACGGGUGAGUAAUACAUCGGAACGUGCCCUGUAGUGGGGAGUAACUAGUCGAAGAAUUAGCUAAUACCGCAUACGACCUGAGGGUGGAAAGUAGGGGGACCGGCAAGGCCUCAUGCUAUAGGAGCGGCCGAUGUCUGAUUAGCUAGUUGGUGGGGU